This is a small nucleolar RNA of Microtus oregoni (creeping vole), 69 nucleotides long. RefSeq annotates it as small nucleolar RNA SNORD113/SNORD114 family. The record is from RefSeq and is a predicted model, not a curated record. The transcript has a single exon. NCBI's taxonomy places the organism in Eukaryota, Metazoa, Chordata, Mammalia, Rodentia, Cricetidae.
UGGAUCGAUGAUGAACGGUGCCAUAUGAGCCGAGGAUCAUGAUUACGGGUCUAAGAUUCUGAGUUCCAC